CCAUUCGGUUAUGUCUUUGAGGGUUAUGGUUGUAGCUUCGGUCUGCUACCUCUUACCCAUGUCUUUUGAGUACCUUCGUUUCCUCGGCGGGUCCGCCCGCCGAUUGGACAACAUUCAAACCCUUUGCAGUUGCAAUCAGCGUCUGAAAAAACAUAAUAGUUACAACUUUCAACAACGCUUCUCUUGGUUCUGGCAUCGAUGAAGAACGCAGCGAAAUGCGAUAAGUAGUGUGAAUUGCAGAAUUCAGUGAAUCAUCGAAUCUUUGAACGCACAUUGCGCCCCUUGGUAUUCCAUGGGGCAUGCCUGUUCGAGGGUCAUUUGUACCUUCAAGCUCUGCUUGGUGUUGGGUGUUUGUCUCGCCUCUGCGUGUAGACUCGCCUUAAAACAAUUGGCAGCCGGCGUAUUGAUUUCGGAGCGCAGUACAUCUCGCGCUUUGCACUCAUAACGACGACGUCCAAAAGUACAUUUUUACACUCUUGACCUCGGAUCAGGUAGGGAUACCCGCUGAACUUAAGCAUAUCAAUAGGGGGAGGAAGAUCAUUACCUAGAGUUUGUAGACUUCGGUCUGCUACCUCUUACCAUGUCUUUUGAGUACCUUGUUUCUGGCGGUCCCGCGAUUGGACAACAUUCAACCUUUGCGUUGCAAUCGCGUCUGAAAAAUUUAAUAGUUACAACUUUCACAAGGAUCUCUUGGUUCUGGCAUCAGAAGAAGACAAAAUGGCAUAAGUAGUGUGAAAUUGCAGAAUUAGUGAAAUCAUCGAAAUCUUUGAACGCAUCUCUUGCUAUUCAGGGGCAUGCGUUGCGGCUCUUUUACUUACGUCUGUGUGGUUGGGUGUUUUGUCUGCUCUGCUGUAACUCUUAAAACAAUGGAGCGGCUAUGAUUUGUAGCAUAUGUCUUUUCUCUUAACACACUCAAGUAUUUUACUCUUGACUUCGAUCAGUAGGGAUACCGCUGAACUAAGCUAUUCAUUAAGGCGGAGGAAAGAGU
This 988-nucleotide ribosomal RNA is filed under the name fungal endophyte. Its description in RNAcentral is "eukaryotic LSU rRNA". The stretch from base 164 to 317 matches the Rfam family "5.8S ribosomal RNA". The record is from RNAcentral. Lineage: Eukaryota; Fungi.